This 507-nucleotide ribosomal RNA is filed under the name uncultured bacterium. Its description in RNAcentral is "partial 16S ribosomal RNA". It matches the Rfam family "Bacterial small subunit ribosomal RNA", at positions 29 to 523 of the family's 1533-position model. The record is from RNAcentral.
AGUGAACGCUGGCGGUAGGCCUAACACAUGCAAGUCGAACGGUAGCACAGAGGAGCUUGCUCCUUGGGUGACGAGUGGCGGACGGGUGAGGAAUGCAUCGGAAUCUACUCUUUCGUGGGGGAUAACGUAGGGAAACUUACGCUAAUACCGCAUACGACCUACGGGUGAAAGCAGGGGACCUUCUAGGCCUUGCGCGAUUGAAUGAGCCGAUGUCCGAUUAGCUGGUUGGCGGGGUAAUGGCCCACCAAGGCGACGAUCGGUAGCUGGUCUGAGAGGAUGAUCAGCCACACUGGAACUGAGACACGGUCCAGACUCCUACGGGAGGCAGCAGUGGGGAAUAUUGGACAAUGGGCGCAAGCCUGAUCCAGCCAUACCGCGUGGGUGAAGAAGGCCUUCGGGUUGUAAAGCCCUUUUGUUGGGAAAGGAAAGCAGCCGGCUAAUACCCGGUUGUUCUGACGGUACCCAAAGAAUAAGCACCGGCUAACUUCGUGCCAGCAGCCGCAGUAA